This 427-nucleotide ribosomal RNA is filed under the name uncultured bacterium. RNAcentral describes it as "partial 16S ribosomal RNA". It matches the Rfam family "Bacterial small subunit ribosomal RNA", at positions 355 to 774 of the family's 1533-position model. The record is from RNAcentral.
UGGGGAAUAUUGCACAAUGGGCGCAAGCCUGAUGCAGCCAUGCCGCGUGUAUGAAGAAGGCCUUCGGGUUGUAAAGUACUUUCAGCGAGGAGGAAGGCGUUGUGGUUAAUAACCGCAACGAUUGACGUUACUCGCAGAAGAAGCACCGGCUAACUCCGUGCCAGCAGCCGCGGUAAUACGGAGGGUGCAAGCGUUAAUCGGAAUUACUGGGCGUAAAGCGCACGCAGGCGGUCUGUCAAGUCGGAUGUGAAAUCCCCGGGCUCAACCUGGGAACUGCAUCCGAAACUGGCAGGCUAGAGUCUUGUAAAGGGGGGUAGAAUUCCAGGUGUAGCGGUGAAAUGCGUAGAGAUCUGGAGGAAUACCGGUGGCGAAGGCGGCCCCCUGGACAAAGACUGACGCUCAGGUGCGAAAGCGUGGGGAGCAAACA